AUCCGGAUGACGAGUCCUAAAUGGGACGAAACGCGCGUUUUGGGU
Molecule: non-coding RNA, 45 nt
Filed under: Schistosoma margrebowiei
Lineage: Eukaryota; Metazoa; Platyhelminthes; Trematoda; Strigeidida; Schistosomatidae
Source: RNAcentral